GACUACAGUAUCGUAUACACUCAUACUCGUACUGAAUGUACUAUAAACUGCAACAUUGGAGAGAGUCACUUGACGAGGUCAUUGUCGACAGUCGAAAGUACAACGCUACAGCAAGCUGCUCAAACACACAUCCGACACCCCUACAUCACGUCCUCUGUACACCCAAGAACUUUCGCAUCGCUUCGUGUCCCUUAUCCAAGACUUCAAGUCACGAUAAUUUAUAAGGAAUCGCAUCACCCCACAAUCAACCUUAUCGAGAGCCCCUUGUUGAAGCUGUAUCUACCCGUAAAAACGGGUUAUACGAGCAAAGGUCAGCAUCCGACGUGCAAGUAUAUAAAGACACCCAUUCCAACCCUCCACCAUCUUUCAUUAGUCCAUUCCUGCCACAGCCCCUUUGCCAAGCCUGACGGACAGGGAGGGCGACUGUAUGGUACGUGGACGAUGGAGAGAGGUAUGGUGCAUUCGGAGUUGUCGAUCCCAAACGGUGUCUUAGAAUGGGCCGUGAGUGAUUAUCAUGACUUGUGCGAGUUCGAUAUGAGUACAGUAUGUACCCGUAUGUCACCAAACCUGCCCCAUCAUCGUCAUAGACAUGCCGAAAAAGUACACCUCGUACACCCUGCAAGUAACAAUGGACUAACGGUAGGCUAAGUAGACACUGACUAAUUCUCAGCGCAACUAUAGAACAAGUACAUACAAGUAGCUACAGUAAGCAGUUAUAGACAAGCUAAGCAAGUACAGCCGCUUGGAUAU
RNAcentral lists this unclassified non-coding RNA (750 nucleotides) under Yarrowia lipolytica. Lineage: Eukaryota; Fungi; Ascomycota; Dipodascomycetes; Dipodascales. The record is from RNAcentral.